CCGGAGAAUGUUAUCACGGGAGACACACGGCGGGUGCUAACGUCCGUCGUGAAGAGGGAAACAACCCAGACCGCCAGCUAAGGUCCCAAAGUCAUGGUUAAGUGGGAAACGAUGUGGGAAGGCCCAGACAGCCAGGAUGUUGGCUUAGAAGCAGCCAUCAUUUAAAGAAAGCGUAAUAGCUCACUGGUCGAGUCGGCCUGCGCGGAAGAUGUAACGGGGCUAAACCAUGCACCGAAGCUGCGGCAGCGACGCUGAUGCGUUGUUGGGUAGGGGAGCGUUCUGUAAGCCUGUGAAGGUGKSYYGUGAGGSWUGCUGGAGGUAUCAGAAGUGCGAAUGCUGACAUAAGUAACGAUAAAGCGGGUGAAAAGCCCGCUCGCCGGAAGACCAAGGGUUCCUGUCCAACGUUAAUCGGGGCAGGGUGAGUCGACCCCUAAGGCGAGGCCGAAAGGCGUAGUCGAUGGGAAACGGGUUAAUAUUCCCGUACUUGGUGUUACUGCGAAGGGGGGACGGAGAAGGCUAUGUUGGCCGGGCGACGGUUGUCCCGGUUUAAGCGUGUAGG
RNAcentral lists this ribosomal RNA (559 nucleotides) under Salmonella enterica. Its description in RNAcentral is "partial 23S ribosomal RNA". The record is from RNAcentral. Lineage: Bacteria; Pseudomonadati; Pseudomonadota; Gammaproteobacteria; Enterobacterales; Enterobacteriaceae.